Molecule: long non-coding RNA, 354 nt
Organism: Homo sapiens (human)
Lineage: Eukaryota; Metazoa; Chordata; Mammalia; Primates; Hominidae
Exons: 3
Source: RefSeq, a predicted model, not a curated record
ACAGUUCCGUGCGGGGCCAGCUGGCGGCGGCGCUUCCGGGCCCCCGUGGCCGCCACGGCCUGGCCGGUACGGGGUCCGCCGGCCCAGAACGCCUGGGAUGACAAUACUUGAGGAAUCCUCGCUGGUGCUGCCCUCCUGCCCUCUGCUUGGAACCCCUCCCCUAAGUGUCAGUGAGUGGACGUAUAUAUUUGGAUCAAUCGAGUUGCACCCUUUGCCUCCCAGAUCAGUUCCUCCGGCCUCCCUGGCUGAGCAGAAGGACAGCUCUGGACACUUGUGUCAGCACCCAGCCCACGUGUCCCUGCCACAGCUUCAUAUAAGAGAUCUUGCUGUUGCCCAGGCUGGAGUGCAAUGGCU